UCCUCUGUUUCAGCAGCAGCUAGAACAAACUCAGGCUGUACCCUUUCAGCUUCGCUGAAGGUCCCAUCUACGGCGUUGGGCUGCCCCAAUGCCUUCAAGGCUAAGUGUGCUGCUUUCUGCCCUGAUAUCAUCAUUGCUCCAAAUGUUGGACCCUGAAAAAACCAAAUCCACAAUUUCAUCGUUAUAACACAUCAAUAACUCAAAUCACAAUUAAAAAGUAAAAAGGGAGUGUUAAUAGUUACCAUUCUUGGGGCACCAUCAAUCUCUGCAACUUCCAUUCCUGUUACAAUCAUGCCAGGCACAAUUUCCCUUGUAAGCCUAACGAUUGCAUCCUCUGCCGUGUUCAUAUCCAGUGCCUUCAUUCCAGGGACGCUGUCAAUCAUCCCAAUGCUCUUCAAUCUCUUGACCCCAGUGGCUCCAAAAGGUCCAUCAUGUCCACAAGAACUGACCACAACCUUAGACUCCAUCACGUUCGGGUCCAUGCAGGAUUGUGUGUCGUGGUUCAUUGACACCAAAGCCCAGUUCGUUACCACACCGGCAACCCUGUUUCCUUUGACUAUCAGAUCCUCAGCAGCCACAGCAUUGAACAACUUCACGUUAGGCCUUGCUAAAAGCUUGCUCAUGAUUGUUGAUGUGAACAAAGCUGCAUGCUUGAUGACAACGUA
This 665-nucleotide long non-coding RNA is filed under the name Gossypium barbadense (sea-island cotton). Its description in RNAcentral is "long non-coding RNA (GBAR_LNC017326)". Lineage: Eukaryota; Viridiplantae; Streptophyta; Magnoliopsida; Malvales; Malvaceae. The record is from RNAcentral.